RNAcentral lists this ribosomal RNA (425 nucleotides) under uncultured bacterium. RNAcentral describes it as "partial 16S ribosomal RNA". It matches the Rfam family "Bacterial small subunit ribosomal RNA", at positions 354 to 796 of the family's 1533-position model. The record is from RNAcentral.
GUGGGGAAUAUUGGGCAAUGGGCGAAAGCCUGACCCAGCAACGCCGCGUGAAGGAAGAAGGUCUUCGGAUCGUAAACUUCUAUCCUUGGUGAAGAUAAUGACGGUAGCCGAGAAGGAAGCCCCGGCUAACUACGUGCCAGCAGCCGCGGUAAUACGUAGGGGGCAAGCGUUGUCCGGAAUGAUUGGGCGUAAAGGGCGCGUAGGCGGCCUGGUAAGUCUGGAGUGAAAGUCCUGCUUUUAAGGUGGGAAUUGCUUUGGAUACUGUCGGGCUUGAGUGCAGGAGAGGUAAGUGGAAGUCCCGGUGUAGCGGUGAAAUGCGUAGAGAUCGGGAGGAACACCAGUGGCGAAGGCGACUUACUGGACUGUAACUGACGCUGAGGCGCGAAAGUGUGGGGAGCAAACAGGAUUAGAUACCCUGGUAGUCC